GUCGUCAUCACCGCUGCCAUUGCUGUCGUUGCCCCUUGAAUUCUAUCCCCCCUUUUCCCCCUAGGAUUGGGGUUUCGGCAAUGGAGCGGAACGAGGCGGGGGGUGAGAGCCGAGGGGUUUAUCACAUGCACUGGAAAAUAUUGCUGAGAAGGACAGAACCAGAAAGAGAAGUCGAAAGCUUGAAGUGGUCUCCAAUGUAUUCCUUUCGAGUCUUGUAGUAAUAUUCUUUUUCCUCGGUCCUCAGG
RNAcentral lists this long non-coding RNA (245 nucleotides) under Elaeis guineensis (African oil palm). RNAcentral describes it as "long non-coding RNA (EGUI_LNC075521)". The record is from RNAcentral. Lineage: Eukaryota; Viridiplantae; Streptophyta; Magnoliopsida; Arecales; Arecaceae.